Molecule: transfer RNA, 72 nt
Filed under: Pseudotrapelus sinaitus (Sinai agama)
Lineage: Eukaryota; Metazoa; Chordata; Lepidosauria; Squamata; Agamidae
Description: tRNA-Asn
Source: RNAcentral
CAGAACCAGUGGGUCUCGAUCCCACAAUAGAUAGUUAACAGCUAUCUGCCCAAUCCAGCGGACAUUAGUUCG